CUCAGAGGUCACAGAUAUGACUUUCUUUGCUGAGGAUGUUCACCUUUUGGCUAGUGUUGGGAUAGAUGGACGGGUUUACGCAUGGAAGAUUUCUGAAGGCCCAAUAAGCCUCAAAUUACAGGAAAUGCUAUUGUUGCGAUUCAAAUUAUAGGACAGGAGGGAGCUUCUCAUCCACGAGUUUGUUGGCAUUGCCACAAGUAAUAACACAUUUAAUUCUGUCAUUCUUGAUACAAGACAGUCUAAACAUUAUGUUUUCUUAUUAGUUAUAAAAGAAAUUGUGGUCUUUAGUCUCAA
Carya illinoinensis is the source of this 294-nucleotide long non-coding RNA. RefSeq lists it as uncharacterized. The record is from RefSeq and is a predicted model, not a curated record. The transcript is spliced from 2 exons. NCBI's taxonomy places the organism in Eukaryota, Viridiplantae, Streptophyta, Magnoliopsida, Fagales, Juglandaceae.